AUACAGAGGGUGCAAGCGUUAAUCGGAUUUACUGGGCGUAAAGCGCGCGUAGGUGGCUAAUUAAGUCAAAUGUGAAAUCCCCGAGCUUAACUUGGGAAUUGCAUUCGAUACUGGUUAGCUAGAGUAUGGGAGAGGAUGGUAGAAUUCCAGGUGUAGCGGUGAAAUGCGUAGAGAUCUGGAGGAAUACCGAUGGCGAAGGCAGCCAUCUGGCCUAAUACUGACACUGAGGUGCGAAAGCAUGGGGAGCAAACAGGAUUAGAUACCCUGGUAGUCCAUGCCGUAAACGACGUCUACUAGCCGUUGGGGCCCUUGAGGCUUUAGUGGCGCAGCUAACGCGAUAAGUAGACCGCCUGGGGAGUACGGUCGCAAGACUAAAACUCAAAUGAAUUGACGGGG
This 396-nucleotide ribosomal RNA is filed under the name uncultured bacterium. Its description in RNAcentral is "partial 16S ribosomal RNA". It matches the Rfam family "Bacterial small subunit ribosomal RNA", at positions 523 to 918 of the family's 1533-position model. The record is from RNAcentral.